GGGUCGCGACGUGCACGCCUCGUCUUUGUCUCUCUCACACACCUGUGCACCUCUGCGUGGGUCACGAGCGUUCACUCGUUCGGGGCUCGCGUCCUUUUGACACUACACACACCCCUUUGCAUGUUAUCGGAACGCUUCGUUCGCCGUGGUGGCGAAUAGAACUUGUACAACUUUCAACAACGGAUCUCUUGGCUCUCGCAUCGAUGAAGAACGCAGCGAAAUGCGAUAAGUAAUGUGAAUUGCAGAAUUCAGUGAAUCAUCGAAUCUUUGAACGCACCUUGCGCCUCUUGGUAUUCCGAGGGGCACGCCUGUUUGAGUAUCGUGAAAUCGUCAACCCGACUCUUUUUUUUCUUUCCCUUUUGGGAUGGAUAGAGAGAAGGGCUUGGACUUUGGAGGUUCUUGCUGGUCCCUUUGUCUGGACCGGCUCCUCUCGAAUGCAUUAGUGGAGCUCGUCUGCUCUCUCUCUGCCUCUCGGUGUGAUAAACUGAUCUGCGCCGACGUGUGAGGGAGGAUGAAGCGCCGCUUCUAACCCGGUCUCGCCUUCACCUUCUAGGGGGUGUCGCGUGUUGCC
This 571-nucleotide ribosomal RNA is filed under the name uncultured Ramaria. RNAcentral's name for it is "eukaryotic LSU rRNA". The stretch from base 169 to 322 matches the Rfam family "5.8S ribosomal RNA". Lineage: Eukaryota; Fungi; Basidiomycota; Agaricomycetes; Gomphales; Gomphaceae. The record is from RNAcentral.